ACACAUGCAGUCGAGCGGAAACGAGUUAACUGACCCUUCGUUGACGUUAACGGCGUCGAGCGGCGGACGGGUGAGUAAUGCCUGGGAAAUUGCCCUGAUGUGGGGGAUAACCAUUGGAAACGAUGGCUAAUACCGCAUAAUGCCUUCGGGCCAAAGAGGGGGACCUUCGGGCCUCUCGCGUCAGGAUAUGCCCAGGUGGGAUUAGCUAGUUGGUGAGGUAAUGGCUCACCAAGGCGACGAUCCCUAGCUGGUCUGAGAGGAUGAUCAGCCACACUGGAACUGAGACACGGUCCAGACUCCUACGGGAGGCAGCAGUGGGGAAUAUUGCACAAUGGGCGCA
RNAcentral lists this ribosomal RNA (340 nucleotides) under bacterium ocnta354lb42onnp9.24. RNAcentral's name for it is "bacterial SSU rRNA". It matches the Rfam family "Bacterial small subunit ribosomal RNA", at positions 51 to 379 of the family's 1533-position model. The record is from RNAcentral.